This 477-nucleotide ribosomal RNA is filed under the name uncultured bacterium. RNAcentral's name for it is "partial 16S ribosomal RNA". It matches the Rfam family "Bacterial small subunit ribosomal RNA", at positions 28 to 523 of the family's 1533-position model. The record is from RNAcentral.
GACGAACGCUGGCGGCGUGCUUAACACAUGCAAGUCGAACGGUAAGGCCCUUCGGGGUACACGAGUGGCGAACGGGUGAGUAACACGUGGGUGAUCUGCCCUGCACUUCGGGAUAAGCCUGGGAACUGGGUCUAAUACCGGAUAGGACUCCGGACUGCAUGGUCUGGGGUGGAAAGCUUUUGCGGUGUGGGAUGGGCCCGCGGCCUAUCAGCUUGUUGGUGGGGUGGUGGCCUACCAAGGCGACGACGGGUAGCCGGCCUGAGAGGGUGACCGGCCACACUGGGACUGAGAUACGGCCCAGACUCCUACGGGAGGCAGCAGUGGGGAAUAUUGCACAAUGGGCGCAAGCCUGAUGCAGCGACGCCGCGUGAGGGAUGACGGCCUUCGGGUUGUAAACCUCUUUCAGCACAGACGAAGCGCAAGUGACGGUAUGUGCAGAAGAAGGACCGGCCAACUACGUGCCAGCCGCCGCGGUAA